Molecule: ribosomal RNA, 497 nt
Filed under: uncultured bacterium
Lineage: Bacteria
Description: partial 16S ribosomal RNA
Rfam family: Bacterial small subunit ribosomal RNA
Source: RNAcentral
GAUGAACGCUGGCGGCGUGCCUAAUACAUGCAAGUCGAGCGAACGGACGAGACGCUUGCUUCUCUGAUGUUAGCGGCGGACGGGUGAGUAACACGUGGAUAACCUACCUAUCAGACUGGGAACACUUCGGGAAACCGGCGCUAAUACCGGAUGAUCUUUUGAACCGCAUGGUUCAAAAGUGAAAGACGGUCUUGCUGUCACUUAUAGAUGGAUCCGCGCUGCAUUAGCUAGUUGGUAAGGUAACGGGUUACCAAGGGAACGAUGCGUAGCCGAACUGAGAGGGUGAUCGGCCACCCUGGAAGUGAGACAGCGUCCAGACGCCUAAGGGAGGCAGCAGUAGGGAAUCGGACGCAAAGGUGGAGAGCAUGGCGGAGCAAGGGGGCGUGAGAGGUGGAAGUCUUCGGAUCGUAAAAACCUGUUAUGAGGGAAGAACAGAUGUGUAAGGAAAUGAGGAGAUCGUGACGGUAACUAGUAAGAAAGCCACGGCUAACUACGUG